CCUACGGGAGGCAGCAGUGGGGAAUCUUGCGCAAUGGGCGAAAGCCUGACGCAGCAACGCCGCGUGGGGGAUGAAGGCCCUCGGGUUGUAAACCCCUUUCAGCAGGGACGAAACUGACGGUACCUGCAGAAGAAGCCCCGGCCAACUACGUGCCAGCAGCCGCGGUAAUACGUAGGGGGCGAGCGUUGUCCGGAUUUAUUGGGCGUAAAGAGCUCGUAGGCGGCUUGGCAAGUCGGGUGUGAAACCUCCAGGCUUAACCUGGAGACGCCACUCGAUACUGCCAUGGCUAGAGUCCGGUAGGGGACCACGGAAUUCCUGGUGUAGCGGUGAAAUGCGCAGAUAUCAGGAGGAACACCGGUGGCGAAGGCGGUGGUCUGGGCCGGCACUGACGCUGAGGAGCGAAAGCGUGGGUAGCAAACAGGAUUAGAUACCCUAGUAGU
This 440-nucleotide ribosomal RNA is filed under the name uncultured bacterium. RNAcentral describes it as "bacterial SSU rRNA". It matches the Rfam family "Bacterial small subunit ribosomal RNA", at positions 338 to 794 of the family's 1533-position model. The record is from RNAcentral.